UGCUGUCUUUUGACUUCUAUAAAAUGGAGGGUUGGCCGAGUGGUCUAAGGCGGCAGACUUAAGAUCUGCUGGACAGUUGUCCGC
Non-coding RNA from Debaryomyces hansenii CBS767, 84 nucleotides. The record is from the annotation of a RefSeq genome assembly. NCBI's taxonomy places the organism in Eukaryota, Fungi, Ascomycota, Pichiomycetes, Serinales, Debaryomycetaceae.